CCUACGGGUGGCAGCAGUGGGGGAUAUUGCACAAUGGGGGAAACCCUGAUGCAGCGACGCCGCGUGGGCGAAGAAGUAUCUCGGUAUGUAAAGCCCUAUCAGCAGGGAAGAAGAAAUGACGGUACCUGAGUAAGAAGCACCGGCUAAAUACGUGCCAGCAGCCGCGGUAAUACGUAUGGCGCAAGCGUUAUCCGGAUUUACUGGGUGUAAAGGGAGCGUAGGCGGCACGGCAAGCCUGAUGUGAAAGCCCGCGGCCCAACCGCGGGACUGCAGUGGGAACUGGCGGGCUGGAGUGACGGAGAGGUAGGCGGAAUUCGUAGUGUAGCGGUGAAAUGCGUAGAUAUUAGGAAGAACACCAGUGGCGAAGGCAGCCUACUGGACGGUGACUGACGCUGAGGCUCGAAAGCGUGGGGAGCGAACAGGAUUAGAUACCCCUGUAGUC
RNAcentral lists this ribosomal RNA (442 nucleotides) under uncultured bacterium. RNAcentral's name for it is "partial 16S ribosomal RNA". It matches the Rfam family "Bacterial small subunit ribosomal RNA", at positions 338 to 795 of the family's 1533-position model. The record is from RNAcentral.